CAAGCUUACCAAAGGCAAUUUUAUUUGCAGAGAGAAUUGACUAAGAAAGGUGUUGUGAUUGGGUAACUGGAACAAUGGGUUGUAGCAGUUUCUCAAUGAUUUUAACCGUUCUGGUUCUAACAUUUUCGUCCAUGAUGAUUGACUCAAGGGUUGCAGAGGCACGCGUGGUGCCAAAAUCAGACCUUCCAUCGGUUUCCAAAGUUGGGUUACCAGUGACUUUGCCUAUCGUCUUGCCAGUGCCACUCCCAGAAAUCCCUGUCCCUGUCCCUGUUCCUGAUCUGGGCGUGCCAGUUCCUAAAGUGCCGGUGCCAGUUCCUAUCCCCGUGCAUCUUCCUACCUUGACAAUUCCCAAACUAAAGGUAAACGUUGGAGGCGUGAAAAUCCCAUGAGCACUUACCUGAAAUCUAUCAGUCACUACUGCUACUGCUUUUUCUCUGGUCAAUUCCACUGUUACUUAUUCACUGUAUUGUUUAUAUUUUGUUCUUUUUGUUCCGUUCGGGUUUAAAUUCUACUUUAUUUGUCAUUCAAUAAUGUAAUCUUCAGUUUAUAUGUUGUUUCAGUCAGUUUAUUAUAUAUGUUGUGUCAAUUUCUAACUAAAGCACACAGAAUAAAACUCUGGAUGACAUAGACUACUGCAAACACCACUCCAAUUAAGUUGACAAUGUUCGAAUCUCGGCUAAACCAACAAUAUUUCAAUGCAUAUUAUUCUUAUGAAAAAUAAGCAUGUCGGGAAGAGAAAUUGAUGUUUACAAAGUCGAUAAUAAGGUUAAAUUCGCAUUUAUUUUUUAUAUUAUAAUUUUAAUUAUAUUUUUAGUUAAUAGAAGAUCUAUAAGAUACUUUCUUGAACUAAGAACUUCUUUUAAUGAUUCUAGUUUAAUAUUAAGGUUCUAAAAUUUAAGCUUAAUUCAGCAUCAUAUAACCACUUCAGUAAAGUGUACGUUGAACAUUAUGAUAAUAAGAUUCUCUUUAUCCCACUCUUAAUAUGUCUAGUCCUUGGUAUGAAAGGUGUUUUGAAGAGCUUGCAUUUAUUAAAAAUAAGGUUAAAUUAUAUAACUUAUAUUAUAAGCCAAUAUUUACAUAAUAUUUACACGACUAAAUCUUAAUCAUUAAACUAAUAUAAUUAUUUGAUUAAGUAUAAUUAUCAAUUAAGUUUAUAUUUGAACCAACAUGUCAAUUCUAAUAUAUCUAAAUAUUAUAUGACUAUUAAAAUAACUUUUAAAACUCCGCGAUCAUCCCUGAUCUUAUGAUAACAUAAAAAAUUAACUAUUAUUUAAAUAAAUAAUAUGAAAUUUGUGUGUAUAAUUUUAAUAAUAUACACCAAUCAACAAACUUUUACACGACAAAAAUAAAACUGAAAGCAGUUAUACUGUGUGAAAGUUCGAAAUAUUCCCUCGUGAAAAAAAUCCGUGACCGUCAGAUUGAAUGGUUGGAAUGUUACGAAGAAAACCUUCUCACUAGGUAAAAGUCACCCCAAAAUUAUAGUUCGACAUCCUUACAAAAAAUCCUCUCACUUGGCAAUUUUACGUAGAAAAGUGAUAUUUUAACACCAAUUUUUAACAUUAUUUUGAUACUGCACACGUGUUAAAAUGUGAUUGGAUGAUUUCAAAUUAAAAAAAAAAGUUAAAACAAGGACAUAUCUGAAAGAGAAAAACUAAAGUUUUUUUUUUUUUAAUUUGAAAUCGUCCAAUUAUACUUUGAUAAGUGUGGAGUGUUAAAAUAGUGUUAAAAUAUCAUUUUUCUUUUAUGUAAUAAUAUAGUACUGUAUAUUAAAAUUUUAAAUUAAAAAAUAAAAUAAAUACACUUAAAAUGUUAUUGUUAUUAUCAUUAUUAUAAGUUGUUAAAUAAGUAUACAAAAAUAUUUUAUUUCAUGAUGCAAAGAUACCAUAGUUAAAAAAAAUGAAUCAUCUUAAAAAAAAUUGACACCCUUAUUUAAAAACAUUCACAUUACAAAUAAUGUUUCUAAUAGUAAAAUAUUACAAUAAGACAUUUAAUAACAAUAUAAAUUAUAUUAUUCAAUAAAAAAAAACAAUAAAACUAUUGAAGUAGGAGUGAAAAAUAUGAGGGAGGGCCAAUGAAUCAUCACCCUAUGAACAAUUUCACACUAUUAUUUUCACUCUCUUUAUCGUUUCUUUUCUUUUCUUUUUCACCUUUUCGCAUCAUACCGUCCUAAUAAAGACUUAAUUAUAAUAAUUAAGAAGCUAUAAUAAUUAAACAUAUUAGUAGCUGUAGUUAGGAAAUGUAGGUUAUCAGAAGUUGAAUUAGAGAAAUUAUAUAUGUAUGUAUAGAUAUCAGUGUAGAAAGGAUAAAAAAAUAAAAGAAAAAAGAACGGGUCAAUCGAGUUUUCAAAAUAUAAGAGUUGAUUUCAAUGUUGGACUACUUACCACAUUUUAAAACGGAACAACUCUUAUAUUUCACAACAACCUCAGAAAAAACAAAGUUGGAUGUCCUACUUCUGAAUCCCACUACCAGGUAGUCCAACAACAUAUUCAGACGUGGCUACGUAAGGUUAGCAAACAUGGAGUCAUGAAUUUUGUAUAAAAAGGCCAACCUGAAAAUGAACACAACUCACAAAAGCUCAAAGCAAAAGUUUCCUCAAGAGUAAUCAAGACAAUGGCCUCCUCCAGUUGCUUCAUCUUUGCUUUUUUCAUUGCUAUGUCCUUCUCAAGCAUGGAUAUUGGGCUGGCAGCUCGUCAUCUCCUGCAAACAACAACACCAAAUUUACCAGGCAUUCCCUCUUUCACUAACCCAACAUUGCCACCUUUGCCUUCAUUUCCAACACUGCCUCAGCCUCAGGCCACUGUUCCACCUCUGCCUACAAUCCCAUCUCUGCCACAACCAUCUCUUCCUACCGUUCCAAAAAUCCCACAGCUCACUCUUCCACCACUUCCUGCCACUUCACUUCCCAACAUCCCUUCCUCAUUCCCUUCUCUCUCUCCACCACCUUCACCUUCCACUCCUUGAAUCAACCUACUUUUCCACUGCACUCGUCUUUGGAGUUUGCUUCUCAUCAUUCAUCCAUGAUUAUGUUAUACGUUGUUCUCUUGUUGAUCGGGAGUUUUCAUUUUGCUUUGUUCUUUCGUCUUAUUGCAUGCAUACGAUUGCUGUUUUGUCUUCCCUCUCUUUAUACUUCAUGUACUUGAGUAUCAUCUGUUGUUAUAGGAUACAUACACGUUAUAAUAAAUAAUACUUCAUUGAUUUCUCAGCUCCCUAUUCAGUUCUUUCUAUUCAAAAUAUCUAACAUAAUAAUCUCAAUAUUCCUAGUUUAAAAUAAUGUUAAAAUAGUUAUAUCCCGAGGACUUCACUAUAAAUGAAAAAAAAAACAAGUUUCGUAUAUUGGCUCAAAAUAUAUCCAAAUAAUAAUUAAUGUCAUCUUAUUUUAUUAAAAUAUUUUAAAAUAUUCUUCCUUUAACUUAUAUUUUAUUGUAAAAUACUCUCUCUCUCAUAAAGUAUAACUUAAGAGAAUUAUUAUUUUAAAAUAAGAUCAGUAAAUUUAAAUUAUAUAUGUUGAUUAAUUAUGUUAACUAAAGUCAGAUUUUUAACUUAUAUUCGAGACUCGAAACAAGUAGUUUACACCGUUUUUAUUAUUACAAUUAAGCUUAUAUUAUUUCUUUAUAUAAAACUUUUGAAUCUUUAAUGUUUACGAAAACAAGUAGAGAUUAUAAGAUGCGUAAUUUGAGAAUUUAAAGGAUGUAUCAUUUCUUCUUAUCGUGUUAUCACACGGAAAGAUUUAUUGAAUAACUUUGAUAGCAACCUUACGAAAUCUCAAAAAAUAUCACUUAUAUAUCUUUCGUAAAUAGACAAACAUUUCUGAAAGUAAGGACAUAUAUAUUUACCAAAGCAGGACUGAAGACACGUGAUUUAAAUAAACAUAGGAAUUACAAAUAUUUUUUACGAAUAAUAUUAAUAUAUUAUGAAAAAGGACAUGAUAUUUUAAUAACUCUUUUUUAAUAAUUUUUUAACAAUUUUUAUUGAUCUGUUUGAAUUUAUUUUAAAAAAAUAUUUAAAACGGAUUAAUAACAAACUGUCACUUGUUAACUGUUCUAAAAAAGAGUUGUUAAGGAGACUUAUAGAUUUUUUUGAUGAUUUACUUUGGAUUAGUAGCAAUUAUUGGGGUUGCAUAGAAAGAUUUGGAUUGGAUUUAGUGAAAACUAACAUGUGCAACAGGAUGCAGUUGGUGGUCUAUAAAAGGGCACUACCACCUCAAGCAUACCCAAGCCAAUUUUCUUUGCAGAAACCAUUGAUUAAGAACAGUGUAGCUCUCAAACAAUGGGUCGUAGCAGUUUGUUUAUCCUUUUUCCUCUUCUGCUUCUGACAUUUUCAUCCAUCACAAGGGUUGCAGAAGCACGUCUCACCACAAAAAUACUCUUUCCACCGGAAGAUGACAUUCCUGAUGUGGAAGUUACACUCCCAAUUAAUAUCACACUCCCUGAGCUUGAGUUUCCUAAACUGCCAAUUCCCGACGUAAUUUUUGUUGAGGACGCCAAAAAAACCCCAUGAGUGCCUACACUUCCUCAAAUCUAUCAGUAAUAAUAUCUUCUUCAUUUGCUCCUACUCACUUCUGCAUCUUCAAUGUACUAUUUAUAAAUUUGUUGUUGUUGUUGCAGUAAUUCCAAGGUGGUUCUGUCGGCUGCUUUAUGUGUCCUUCAAUUACUUGUCAUGUUCAGUUUAUAUGUUGUUUCAGACAGUUUUACUGAAGCAUAAUAAUUAUUGUGAUUCGUGAUGUUGUAUCGGACUUCUUGUCUUCUACUUCAAUAAAUUACUGAAUUUCUUUUGUUUGGUAGAAAUCUUCCAUUUCUGAAUUCUCUGACUGUUGUGGAAGCACAAGUUCCUUUCAUUGUCACUUAAUUAAGCUAUUUUUAAGCUUCAUCUGUUUUCUCUUUUGGCACGAUUCGUUUAUCAUCUACAGACAUUAACCAAUUCUACUAAUUGUCAUUAUGGCUUCUAAUUCUCAAUAUUCUUUAUUACAAAUUUCAACUAAAAAGUAUAAUUUUGGUGGAUUCUCCGAACAUAUAUACACAUCAAAUAUUCUGUCCUUGUAAAAAGUAUAAUUUUUACCUUUCAACUACAAAUUAAUGUGAUGUUAUCCGAAGGACUAAUUUUGUUAUUAUUAGGAAAAUGAACACUCAGAUGGUGUUACAUCUAUUUCUAGAGCUUGAAAACUAACAUAUUAAGAUCUAACUAAAAGAUAUUACAUUUAAUGUAAGAUGAUGAAUUAUUGUUAUUCUUCUUGUUUGGAAGCAUGUUGGAUGAUGAUGUGAUUCAAUGACUUUCACAUUAUUAUUUUCAAUUUACAAUGAUUAAUAUUGAUGCUUCCCUCAACAUCAUUGAUGACAUUUUUUUUCUAAUCCAAUAUGUUUCAAUUAAAAUAAUAAAAGUUAUCCACCAUUUUAUAUUAAUUGCAAUAAUAUUUUUAUAUUAAAUACAAAGUCUAAAUAACUUUUUAAAAUGCAUAAAUAAAUAAUGAAAUAAAAUAAUACUCACCUACAAUUAAUAAAAAAAAUUAAACAUGAAAAUUAAUUAAGGAAAUAUAAAAAUGAUGAAUAUUCAAUGAACUCAAACUUUUUUUUAAUAAAGCUUCAAUUGAAAUUACUCAAAUUUUAUAUGUAGUUGAAAUUUAAUUAAACUUACAAAAUUUUAUAAGAGUAUUUUUUAUAUAUAGAUUUAAUCUUCUUUUUGUUUAAUUUUUUAGUAUUUUUAAAAUUUUGCUUUUAGGUUUAGAUUUUAAAAGUAAUAUACUUUUAGUUCGCUGUCUAUCUCUGAAAGGAAAUAAUGAAUAACCUUUAUAUAAUUUAUAAAGAUCAAAUAUGAAAUAAAUUAAAUAAAGAUUAAAAUUUAAAAAAAUUAAAAACAUAAUCGCUAUCAGUGUAGCAGAGAGAACAUGCUAUGCAUGUGAGUGAUGCAGCUCCCUUUGAGUUUACCAACAUUACUGGAAAACUUCCGUCUUAUGAGAAAAAACAAAAUUAAUGGUAGGGUAGAAAAAUGACCAUUCAAGACGGUUUAACGGUUAUGAAAGAAGAAACAAGAUUGCCAGGUGGCAUAUUUCCAUUUUUAAGUGUUGAAAAUUAAAAUUAGGGACCGAUAACUUUUAUUAUUUAUUCUUAUUUUUAAUUUAACGAAUAUGAAAAAAAUUAUCUCAUCCCACUUGUAAUUAAUACCUGGUAUAUUUGUACCGUGUACUUACCUAUAUUAUUAUUUUUUCAUAUAAAUUAAUUAAUUUUAAUAAAUAAUCACAAAAUAUAUUUAAUGUCAAAUAUUUAAAAACAAAUGAUAAUUAUAUAAUUUUAAAUUAAAAUACUAAAUAAAAGCAAAAUAAUUACAUAAUUUAUUAUACAAUUACGUAUAAAAAAAUUUGAUAAUAACCCAAACAUUUAUUAGUUUUAAAAAUAUUAAGGGUUAAAUAUGUUUUUCGUCCCUUAACUAUUGGCCGUUUUUGUGUUUAAUCCCUCUUUUAAAGUAUGGUACAACUUAGUCUUUCAACUUUAGAAAACUAUGGUUUUAGUCUUUUUUACCAAAUUUUUUUAACUUUAUUUGUUGUUCAAGCACGUUACAUUAUAGCAUUUGGAUUGUUUACACAUUUUGACACAUUUUUGCUUCAAUGUUAACUGAGAAACACGUUUGAAACAGCAAAUAAAGUUAAAAAAAUUUGGUAAAAAAGACUAAAACCAUAGUUUUCUAAAGUUGAAGGACUAAAUUGUACCAAAGAGGGACUAAACACAAAAACGGCCAAUAGUUGAGGGACGAAAAACAUAUUUAACCCAAAUAUUAAUAAAAUAAAGGUGAUAAAGUUAAAAUAUAUUUUUAAAAUUAUGAAGAAAAUAAAUAUUUAACUAUUUUUUUAUUUCUUUCUCUAAAUUAAACUGAAAUAUCUUUUUAAUUAAUAAGUUUGUUUUCACUAUUAUUUCUCUUUGCUUAAGUUCUUCAUUCUUUUUUUUUUUUUUACUUUGGGUUUAAGAUUAUUUAAACAUUUUGUUCCUUGACAACUUAUUUAAUGGAAAACCAAAGAAAUAAAAAAGUUGAGUAAGUGGUGUCCCAACGGUUCGUGUAAAUAGUACGUGUAUAACUAAGAUAAAUACAAGGGACAAACACAAACACUCGUUUAACAUUAAUUAUAUAUCAUAUUUUUAUUUUAAAAUAUAAAACCAUGAAGAAUCAACCAUAAAAUUAAAAAUAUUAUUUUUUUUAUCAGAUGUGUGUUAGAAAAACUUAAGGAUAUUUAUGUAAAAUUUUUCUAAAUAAAAUGAUACGACAUAAACUUGUGAAAUAAGUAAUUAAAUUAAUAUAAUCUGUAAUAUCUCAAGAAAAAAAUACAAAAAUACAAACAUAAUGCAUUCUGACUUCUAUUUCUACGUUAUUUUCAUUUUUUUUUUACUUCUAAUCAAAAUCGACACUAAAAAUAUUUACAAAUUAACAAACUCAAAACGUAACAACAUUUAUUUCCUAUUUUUUUGUCUGUAGAAUUUAAAGGAGAGAAUUGUGAUUAUAUUAUAUCUCAUGAAUGGUAUGAAUAACAUUUUACUUUAUAUCUCAUCUCCUUCGUUAUGCUUUAAUAAUAAGAAUAUAUUUUUCUUCCUUUCUUUUCUCUCAUGCUAUAUACACAUACUUACCUUUUAAUUAUCACAACAACUCAUUAUACUUAAAAAAAGGUUUCAGAAUAAAUAUAUUAUUUUUAUAAUAUUUUCAUUUUUCGUAUUAGAAAAAUUAACUGUUCCUAUAAACAAGGAAUUAGAAACACAGCAAGUUUUAAAAUUCAUUGCUCUGUAUUACCAAGUCACAUAGCAUAAUAUGGCCAUUCCUUGUGAGCUUUUUCUAAAACUUGUUUUUGGAAACUAAGACUAUAUAUAUAAUAUGUGUACAUAUGGAAGAAUAACUACAACUCUUAAAUAUUCUAUUUUUUAAAAUUUUAUGAUAAACGUGAAAAUUUUGUCUUUAAAAGAUAUAUUGGAAAAUUAAAAUAAGAAUGUCUAUUUAAAUUAUUUUUAACCUAAUUUUUAAAUGAUACAGAACUAUUCAGUAUAUCGGAAUAAAUCUCAAUUAAGAUUUAAAAAGGAAAAAAAAAAUCGUCUUUACAACCACUUUUUUAUUUUCUCGACUGAAGGUUAAGAAAGCCAAAGUUUAUCUUUGAAACUAUUGAAAUUCUUAUCAAUAAUUUUAUCCUUAAAAAAACCCUUAAAAAUAGAAAAAAAUAUUUAAAUUAAUAUUUACAUCGAUUUCUAAAAAAUAUAAGCCUAUUAAAAUUCUUAUCAACAAUUUUAUCCUUUAAAAAACUCUUAAAAAUAAAAAGAAAAAAUAUUUAAAUUAAUAUGGACAUCGUUUUUUAAAAAUCUAUCAAAACCGUUCUAAUUACGCGAAAUUUGAAGACACGCGAUAAAACUGCUUUCUGAUAUAUAUAUAUAUAUAUAUAUAUAUAUAUAUAUAUAUAUAUAUAUAUAUAUAUAUAUAUAUAUAUAUAUAUAUACGUAUCUCGGUUUAGCUAUGUUGUUUUGUUAAAAGAUACCUUUUUCUUUUCUUUUACUUGAUUGAUCUAAUACGGUCUUAAGAGUUAAAUAAGAGAAUGUAAUAUGAAUUUUUCGUUUUAUUUUGUGAGAAGAUGUAAGUUUAAAUCGAAACUUUGCAUCAGUAUUCAGUGCUGUAAAAAUGAAAAUAGUGGAAAAGGUUAUUUAAAAAAAUCACGAAAAUAAAGUCCUUUUACAUGGUGGUGAGAUAGACUUGGUCAAAGCCUAAAAAUGAUAGUGUGAUUCUGAAUGUCUAAAGCGUGAGUGUGGGAGAAGGCAUUGGAUGUAGGUGACGUUUGGCAGCUGAAAUGAACUGCGUUAGAUGACCCAACUCAAUUCAACUCAACACUCCUAUUCCCCCUUUUCAAACCCCUAAAUAUGUAUAAGUUGGUCAUCCUACGUUUGACAUGUUGGGAGCUAUAACUUAAUAUCACCCAACGACCUUAUCAGUCCAACAUAAUAAAAUUAUUUAUCUAUUCAAAUAAAGGAGGAAGGUGAACAAACAAAAACAUUUGUUAGGCUCUAUUUUCUUCUCCAAAUAAAGUUCAGCUGAAACCAUAGCAAGCCCUAUAUAUAUCCUUCAGCCUUUCAUACAAUCUCAAACAAAAUACAUACCAUUUUCGUACAUAGCAAUAUCUCUUCUUCAUUAUUGCACUCCUGUCAACUAUGGCCUCCAACAAAUCAUUCAUCACUGCUUUUCUUCUUGCUCUCACCUUCUCAGGCAUGAUGAGCAUGAGCAUAGCAGCUCGCCAUCUUAUGCAGACAACUGCACCAACAUUGCCAACAUUACCUUCAAUUCCAGCCCUUCCUCAGGGUAAUGUUCCACCACUGCCCACUAUCCCAUCUAUACCUACCACUUUGCCUCCACUUCCUACCAACAUCCCUAAUAUUCCAACAAUUCCACAGCUCAAAGUUCCUCCAUUGCCCUCAAUCCCAACAUUCACAAUUCCAACUACUAUGCCCUCCAUCCCAUUCCUCUCCCCACCACCUUCCACCUCCACCCCUUAAACUACCUUUCUUUUCUUCUUCCUGGCCAAGCUACCGUCUCAGUCUGAUUCGUAGCAGUGCCAAAUUGCAUGCUUCCUAUAGAUAUAGCCUGAUUCCUUUUGUGUGAGAGCCUUGUGUGGUGUUUUCCUUUUACUUUUGUCGUAUGGUGUGAAAAACUUAUGUGUGAGUUCUCGCUAUUGUUUCUACUUUUUCUUGUAUUAUAGAUUACAGAUUGCGAAUGAUUACAGCUAUACAACUUAUAAUGUCUUAUCCUUUAAUUUAAACUCUUCCAACAUCCUAAUUAGAUGUCUAACUAACUGCAUUUAUAUUAUUACUAAGUGUUUCAAUAGAGAAAAAAUGAAGAAAAACAUCACAUUAUUUAGUUGAUGGAGAAAGGUAAGAACACAAAUAAUACACCGAUAUAUUCUUAUGAUUAAGCAUAAUGAAGGAGAUGAGAUAUAAAGUAACAUAUAUAUAGAUGUUAUUCAUACAAUUCAUGAGAUAUAAUAUGAUCAUUGUUCUCUUCUUUAAACUCUUCUAAUAUUGAAGAUAAAAAUAGGAAAUAAAUAUCCAUCGUUUUCUUCUCCUGAUACUCAAACUCUCAAACCAUUCCUCCACUCUCCCACGGAAACAAAAUAGCUAAAUGAAAGACAGAACACCGAUAAAAUGCCCGAUGUACAUCUAUAGGAAAGAACCCGAUUUUUUUUUCAUAAAUAUGCUAUAAGCAAAGUCGCACAGGUAAAUCUAUUUGCACUUCAUCCAACCCAAAAUUUAAAAACACAAAAAAGCUAAAGAAAUCACCUCAAUUCUGUUGAAAAAAUGCAGAGGCUUAAGCUACUGACUUCCAAUUAUUAGAUACGAAAAUUCACAUCUCCACCACGGAAGCAAACGUACUAUAAACCUAUGUUCUGGAAAGCAUUCUGCAUCCUCCGAACUACAUUGAGUUUAAAGAUGUUUCUACAAAGUUACAUUCAACUCUUGAAAACUGAAGUCCGAAAAUGCUAUAAGCUAUGCAUGUUGAACAAUUUGUACAUUCUAUCCAAUAUAGAACCUUUUACUACUACUUGCUCUCUAACAAGAAGUCCCUCCCCUCCCCACAAACAACUCAGACAUUCGCAAACUAUCCUUGGAAAUAUCUCCAUACCAAGAAAUUUUGUGGCAUCAACAUUGCCCAACAUGGGGAAUUCUCCUGUCCACGUGAUUUAUCUUCAUUCCCCCAAUAGCUGACUGGCCAGAGUAUAGGUUGCCUUCACCCUUCAUUCCCACACUUCCACCCUUCUCUACCAGUUCCUCCCACAAUUACCAAUCCUUGACUAGGUAGUUCCAUAAUUAAUUUGCGACAACAUAUACAUGCUCCAGAGCAGAUACAUAUAGCGUAAUUAAUAUUGCUUAUGUGCAAUUCUGCAGUAAAACAAAGGUUCACACCACAGCACUAGCUUUCAAUUCCCACCAUGUUUAGUUACUUAGUUUGCUGUACAUUGAUUCGGUGAACCAUGCCAAGUAGCACCAUGUAAUGGAGCAUCGUAAAAUAUCAUUUUUCCCAUUUGCUUUCUAGUAAAAUGUCUGUUCUGUCGCAUUAAAGUACCACUUAUUUUUCCUCUACAAAUUUGGUGUACAAGGGAAAUGUUUAAUAAGGGUCAAUCAACAAUUCACAUUCUCAAUUAGUUAAUUCAAACAAUUCCGUGCACAUUGUACCAUUAAGCAUCCAUAGCUAAUCUAGAUAUACAAAAACAUGAUUAAGAUUCGACUCCAAAGUAUUGAAGAUUCAGCCGGUAUAAUAAGCCUCAAUCAAAUUCUAGUUUCAUCAAAAAGUCAUACACAGAACCUGUCAAUCAGCAAAACUGAAUACAUAUCAAAGAUAAAAUUCAAAGUAUGUAUCUUAGCUGGCUUCAUAUUUGGGGUCUGCUGUGACUAAGUGAUAAGCUAUAACCAAAGCAAAAAUCAAGAUGCCGAGAAAAUUGGCAAGGACUCCCAAGGCUUCAUCAUCAAUCAUAUCUCUUACGUUCUAGAUCUGGACAAGACAAACAAUAAAAUCAAAUCAAAUAAUUAAGAAACACAUCAAAUGAAUUGCUUCACAGUAAUCAACGUAAAGGAAUUGAAAUCUCAGUCAUAUUAUUCUGCGAACACGGCAAAUAGAGAAAUUAAAAAAAAUAAGAAAUGGACCUUUUGUGAGGAAUUGAAUGAAAUUGUUUGAUGGAUGGCAGUACGGUGAGGAACACGCACAGCCCCCGACUCGUUAAGAAGCAAGGGUGUAUGCGUUGACCUAGACUUUUUGCCCACAUUCUAAACGCCGUCGUUUAUAUAACGAUUUAACGCACAAAAACAAAAGUCCAAUGUGGCUGCUGGGAUUCGAGCCCAGGUCUCCACGGCCACAACGUGGAAUUCUUACCACUAAACUACAGCCACUUCAUGUUAAAAAGUAUUUGAUUAAUCUUCAUAUUGUAUGUAACAAGCACAAAAUGUUAAUUUAGUCCUUAUAAUUAACAUGAUUAUUAAAAAGUUCCUUACUAAGAACAAAUUUAAUCAUGUUAGACUAUUAAAUUUAAUAUUUAUGCUUAUGUACCGUAUUAUCUAGAAAUUUGUCGACAUUGAAAAGUAUACACUAAUAGCAAUUAAAAGUUAAAGUUUUUUUUUUAUUUCUCUUAUUUUUUUAAUAUUUUUUUCUCGGUUCAUCUUAACUUUUCUCUAAUUUAUUUUUAUAUUAAGUUCGUCCUUUAAAAUUUAAUACUUGCAAUCGAGAGAUGUGUAGAAUUAUGACUUUAAAGUUCAUGAUCAAAUUUGAGUUAAUUGUUUUACAUUGUUAGUUUUUCGAUUCCUUUAGCUGAAUAAAUAUAUGAAAGUAAACAAUGUGAUAUUGUUUUUUCAGUUUAAAAAAUUAGUAUAUUUUGUUUGAUUAAAGUUAAAAUCCAAAAAUCAAACCAUAAAGUUGUGUGUUCUCUAUGUAACAAAAAAAAAAUGCAUAACACGUAUUUGAUCACAUAACUAUCAAACUACUAAUUUAUAAAUGGUUACAUAUAGUAAUAGAAAUUAAUUAAACCAUAUACUUCACUGCUAAGAUUCUAUAAGAUAUAAAAUAUUCUACCUAAAUAAAGUUACUAACUUAUAUUAUAUUCGAUGACUUAGGAGCUAUCAUUAUUAAUGAGUGUAAAAAUUUUAUAAUUUUUUGAUCCGGUAUGAGGCCGAGUUACUCAAUCUACACAAUUUCCUCUCCUCAUAUCGUCUACUAGUUCUCUCCACCAGUUCUUCCUUGUGCUUGCUGCACCCGAAGGAUACCUGCCAAAGGUACUCCAAUGCUUAAGUUAGUUAAGUUAUCCGAUCGGAUUUUUAGAUUCAGAGAUAAAUGCGUAAUAAAAUGAACCUACCUACCUGGUACCUUUGACCUGUAUUUAUAGUGUUGGACAUAGGCCUGGUAUUAAGGUUGCCCUAAUUGAGAUCCAAUUACAGCCCAACUACCUUAAGCACGUGAUUGUACUAAUAAUUUUGAAUUUACUUUGGCCAUGAGACCGUUCACCUGCUACCGUUCUUUACUCAUUCCUACCGGCCGUCUCGUGAGAUAACCGAUCGCCUCUUUGGAUGUCUUCCAUGAGUUGAUUUAUCUUAGUCGACCGUCUGACCGUAUUCUUUUACCAGAACCGUGGUCUCUAGUACACUUUUCUUUAAGCUCUUACGAUAGAGGACGCAGUUACGUUGUUGCUACAAAGAGGAGAGAGAUACCAACAAAGCAAAUAAACUAGAAAUGAGAUAAACUCAGACAGAGAGACACCUGGAAGCGGUUUUCACCCACGAGACCGAUAAGCGGUUCUCACCUAUAAGACCGACAAGCGGUUUUCCACUGUGUUUUCCCAAAAUAAUGAAAAAUUAUCGACUCACGUGGGUUAGGAAGAUUAUUAAAGUUAGUUUUUGGGUAAUAUAAUGGAAAUAUGUUUUCAACGAUCAAAAAAUAUUUUGUUAUAUUCUUUUAACGAUCAAACAACUACGAUUUAAAAAUUUUAAUUUAAUUUUAGUGUAUUUAUAAUAUAAUAAUAUAUAAUGAAAUAUUGUUUGCUGUGCAUGUUUUUAUCCAAACAUUUAGCAAAAUUUUCAAAAUGGUUAAUUAAUUACAACUUAAUUAUUGAUUCUCUUUGAAACAGUUUCACCUUUAUUUAUUUUUCAUAAAUAUCUUGAGUAACGUAUAGAUUUUAUUUACUAAGACAGAAUAUUGUAUAGUUUAUGAACUAGUUAAGUCAUUUGGUAAAUACUUUAAAGCAGUUUAUCUUAAGAAAAUUUUAGUAAUAAUAAGUUAUGAAUAUUUUUAACUAGCUAGUAACUUUGUAAUUUUUUUUUAUCAUCAUCCCGUACAUUAUAUACUUAUUUAUUGUAUUUAAUUUCGUUUUAUUUAUUAUUAUAUAUUAUAUGUGAUGUGCGUGUCAUUUAAUAUAAAUCAAUGUUAGUAUAAAAAGAAUCAUAAUUCCAUUUUAGAGUAACUGAAAUAAUUUAAUUAUUCAUUGGGUAGUUUAUAUUUUUAUAUGUAAACUAGUUAUUAAAUUAAAAAAACAUGAAAUAUGUGCAAAGAAUCGAGAUAGUUGUAUAUUGUUAUAACUAAUAAAUAAAUAUCAUAGUAGAGAUCUCGCGAAGAAAGGAGUAUAAAAGAAGAGCACGGAAGAGGAGACAGAACAGAGGAGUGAAGAGAAGAAGAAGAAGAAGAAGAAGAAAGAAAGAGAGAAGAGAAAAGGAAUCAGAGAAGAAAAUGGGAGUGGAGAAGCAAUUGUUGAGGCCUGGCACCGGUCCCAAGCCACUUCCUGGUCAAAACGUCACCGUUCACUGCACUGGUUUCGGUUCGUUAUUCUCUCUCCACCUUUCCCUUUCUAAACCCUAAAUCUUUCUCUUUUCCCACCGUUCUUAGAUCUCACCCUUCUUUCAUGUGCUUACCGUUGUCGAUUCUGUGUGCAGGGAAGAACGGCGACCUCACUCAGAAAUUUUGGAGGUUACCUGAUUACCAUUUCAUUUACGUCUUCCUUGUUUUUCAAUAUACUUAUUCAUCACUCCUUUUCUUGCAGCACAAAGGAUCCCGGCCAAACCCCUUUCUCCUUCAAAAUCGGACAAGGCUCUGUCAUCAAAGGUAUACCGUUUUCACUUACUGAUUAUUCAUUAUUUCUUUAAUACUUCCUAUUUUUUGUUUUCUAAUGUAAAUUCAUCGUAACAUCCCCCCUUUUUUUUUACUAUCUGUGUCUGUAGGAUGGGAUGAAGGUGUGAUUGGCAUGCAAAUUGGUGAAGUUGCUCGUCUCCGGGUAAUGCUAGCAACUCCUUAUUCUUACAUGCUGAAAAAUCUCAUAGCUUCUCGAAUCUUGUGUGACUAGCAUUUUCACUUUUGGAAUAUCCUUCACCUUUGUUUUCUCCUCUAGAUAUAUAUGCUGUGCUUUUUUCUGCAUUAGUCGUUUUUUUUUUCCGAUAUUACAUCCAACGUAGUGUUGUUGGUGUCAAUACAAAUUAGCUGUAUCUUACCAUUUGUUGGCGCUGAUGUACUUUAGGUAAUUCCUUGCUAUUUGUUUGUUGCUUCUUUUGGGAGUGGAGAGUUAUUUAAUUUUAUAGAGCAUGUUGUUCACAUUGUUGAUGAUCUUGCAGUGCACUCCUGAUUAUGCUUAUGGUGCUGGUGGCUUUCCUGCUUGGGGAAUACAGCCCAACUCUGUUCUGGAAUUUGAAAUCGAAGUCCUAAGUGUGAAUUGAAAACCUUGUUAGUUUGUCUGUCUCCGCGCAAAGAAUAAGAGCAUCUGUUUUCAUGGGCAUGUGUAACAGUGUACCAAUGCAAUGAAUGAUAUUUAAGGUGGCUGAGUUAUUUAAUCUAAAUGCUAAAUGACUUCUUGAACUGACAAUAAUAAGGAUAUUGUUAUCACGAUUUGUUUUUGUUAGUAAAGCUGUUGACUACAAUCCUACAUUUGUGCUAGUUUAAUGGUAAUAGAACUAUUUUGGCUGUAAGCCAUCCAUCCUUGAAUGUAGAAUACAUUGCUUAUCUCAUGAGCAUUUAGGUAUAGCUUGAACCUCUGAUGCAGCCUUGACCCCGGGUCUUUCUUCUUCUUCUUCAGAGGUUGCAUCUUUUACUUGAGUUAUUUUUCUCUUCUGCUUCAAUUUCUUGGCUUGGCACAGUUGAUAGAUCAACGUGGAAUUAUGAGAAUAACUGUUGUUAUUAAUGUUGAGAAGUGAAGGAUGUUAAGAAAGUAUGAUAAUGGUGCUUUCACCCUUGAAUUGUGGAUAAACACUUAACACGAUUAAUCCUAAACGAAUACUUUUAUGGGUUGUAAUCAAGGUAACAAUCAUACUGAGAGACCUUGUCGGAAGAUUUUUUUUUUUUUGAAUUAGUGAUAUUAAAUCCAUAUCAUACAUUUUUUUUUAAAAGAAUCUGGAAAAUUAUCUUCGGGAAAAUUAAUAUCUAUUGUGUAUCUCACAUAUUACAUAAUAUUCUUUUAAUAGAGAUAUUAAAGCUGAAGAAUGAAAAUAGAGUUGUGUAAAUAGCAAUGAGCUAAGUGCAAAUAGAAUCAAACGAUCUUCAGCCUAUUAGUGAACUUGUGCCAUUGUCAGUAGAAUGCAAUUGCUUCUUAGAAAGGGUAGCUUCUUCCAACUUACAUCUUCAUAUAGUGGUCAAAUUGAUUUAUUUGCAUCCUUCUCUCCCUCAUUCUUCAUCUUAUUCUUCUUACAUCGGGCCUCUGUUUCAAUUUUCAUCUUCUUUUUCCGCACCUUUUUUUCCCUCACUCUUCAUCUUCUUUUUAUUGUUUUUAUUUAUUAAAAAAAUACCGUAUUUGCAAUCUAAAAUAUAUUUUUUAUGUUUUUUUAAGACAAUCCAAAACUAAAAAUAAAUAUCUUAUACAAGAGGAUAAAUUUGAAAUUUUAAAAUUUAGGGGAGUGGCAGUUGAAAGUAUAGAAGUGCAGAGUAUACAUAGUCUCCUUUGAUGGAGAUCAUGGAUAAAAAGACCAAUGCUUCGUAGAUUGUAAAAAACUAAGGAGUCUUUAAUUGAGGAUACCUUUUUUAUUCAGACUUGUAUUGAAUAAAUUCAGGUUGCACAGAAAAAUUUCCAUCAAGACCUUUUUCUUCUUUAUAAAAAAUUUUCAAAAUAAGCAAGGUAGAGAAAAGUAAUGGAAAUUGACACUUUCAAUUACAGCUUAAUUUCUAAUCAUGGGUCCUGAAAAUUAACCCAACUCUAUUAUGCCAACAACUUUUGGUCAUUUAAGAUUUUACAUAAGGAGUUUUUUCACCUUGAAAAAACAUGCUUUUGUGCUGUAAGAAGUAUAUAUAAACCAAAGAAGUAUCUCUUUUGGUACAAUUGUGCACCAAUACCUCAUGUCAUGUUGGUCAAAGUCCUCAAACUGGUAACUUUAAUAUUAAAAACUUCUGCAAAUCGUCAUUUCUAAUUUAGAUAUUAAGUUUUCUGCAAAGGUUAGAAAAAAAAGGUUUGCGUGAUUUAUGCGAAUAAGUUAUUUUUUAAUUUUUUAUGGAUCAAACUAUUACCUGAUAUAACAUUCAAAUUGUCAACGCUGCAUUCGCAUCACCAGACCUUAUAAAUUUUCACGGUGAAAGGAUGCAAGAUCUCUUUCAAUGCAGUGAUGAUUAAACUAUGAUGAAGGUUUUCAUAGAGAAUAAUUCUGCAUUGCAAAUCAUUCCAAUAUUCCAAUACUGCUAAAGUUGGUUUCAAGCAGAGGAAUUCAGAACAAAGAUAUCGUGACAGUAUUCAGGUUAAUAAUUUGCCAUUUUGCUCAGAAAAAUAAAGUAUUUAGUAGGACAACUACUAUCAGUGGUUCUGAUAAAGCUAGCUGAAAUAUCAUUUGAAGUGGAAAAAAAGUGUAUCGAGUAUAAAUUUUUUUUCCCUUUCCCUUUUAAAAGGGAUAAAUAAAAUCUGAAAGCAAUCAAUUCAUGUAUGUUUUAUUUAAUGAAAAAGGUGGAAGGAAUCCCUGAAUUGUAGCAUCCAGUCUCUGCAAUCCAACCGCACUUUGGUGUAGCUGUAACCCAAAGGAAAGACCUCAUUAUAGAUUUUGGUAUUUGGUGCUUGUGCCCUCUCCUCCAAGCAAAAUGGUAUUAUUUCUUUUAUGUUAUGUGACACAUUUUUUCCCAUUCCACUACACUACCUAUUAGAUUAAUCGUAUCCAUAUUGCCAUGAUUAUGUUGACUUGAUAAGUCUUCACACACAAUAAGAUUAAACAGCUUCUUAUUAUAUGGAUUUAUAAGCACAAUGUAUGAACUCAUUGUCUGAGGAAUUCAUCCCAGCACCAUACAGAUAACUUACAAUAUAUGCAUGAAUUAUUACAUGGUAUAAUGGUAUUGCCCUUUUAUAAAUUUGGAGUCUUUUGUUCUGUUUGUUUUAGCUUUAUCAUAAAAUGCACGGGUGUAGUAUGUUAGAUUGGAUGAUUGUGGUUAGUGGGCUAAAAAUGGGAGCUGCACUUGAUGAACAUGAUCCAGUAUUUGCAUAAUAAUUCUCUUAUUUUUAUGGUCGUGCUUUGUUGCAUCAUUGAUUCCAUGUACCUCGUGCCAAUAUGGUCACUUUGGUGGGGGCGAUUGGGCCCUGGAGUUUGGUUUCAUUUCAAUGACUAGCUAACAACAAAUUACCAAGUUAAUGAGUGUAUUAGAUUAUCUAUGAGUGAAUGGCACAUGUUUGUGUCUUUGCUCCACUGAACUCUGGCUUUUGUUUCGGCAAUGUUAUUGCCGUCAUAAUUGUUUUAAUUAUAACCAUUCAACGCUAUGACAAAUGUGCCAAUGCUUUUGCUUUGAUAAUAGCCAGAUAAUUUAUCAAUUCAUUUCUUAAGCAACUUUCACAUUUUGCUUCAUACAUUGGGAAGCAAUGAAUGAUAAAUCAGGACUGUUGUGGAAGUUACAUGUCACCAAAAGAAAAUCAUGGCUAAAUCUUCAAUCAUUACAUAACAACUAGUAAGAUAGUGUAACUUUGCAAUUUCACUUCUUUCGGAAGGAUAAUUUAAACAACAUUUAAAAAAAGUAAAAUAUAAUUCUGAUAAAGGAUAAAAAUCAUCAUUAUUGUCAUUUUAAUAUACUUAGAUUAACAUUAAUUAUUUCAAUAGCAUUAAACCAUUAGAAUCUUGACUAAAAAGAUUAUUGAAUAAACACAAUUUGAUCAAUAGUGAUGCAUUUUAAUUUUUUUUUCUUAAGUCAAUUGAGAAAAAUGCCUAAGUUAAUAGAAUUUAUCACUGUCUUAAGAAAGACACUUCUUAAGAUUUUUUAUAGGAACCUACAGUAAGAGAUGAAGAACUCCCAGGUUAACAUUUCACAAAAAUGUUAAUGUUUGAACUUACAAUACCAUAUGUAAUGCAUAAAUAUUUUUAUAAUAUUAUAGAAAAUAAUGGUUUAAAAUCAUCAAAAGAGACUCCUCUUUUACUUAAAGUACAAAAUUAAUCAAAUUUAGGUACUAUAAACUAAAAAUGCAGAUAAAAAAACUAUAAACUAAAAAUUAUUAAUCAAAGAAAAUUUUUCUAAAGGCAAAACAGAAUGAAAAAAUUGUUUUUGAAGGAAAAAAAAAUCAUUAUUUUACCUAACAAAAUAGCAUAAAGGGCGAAAAAGGAAAAAAAAAGGAAGGGCAAAAGUGGGAUUUGAUUGUGUAUAUAGUGGGGGGCAUGCACACCACUGUCCAACCUCCCUCCAGUGCUUCUUUCCCACAUUUUCUUGAAACUGUUCAUUGUCUUUGCCUUUCUUUCUCUCGGCCAAUCCCUCCGACUGUAAGUCUUUCCAAAUCUGAGUAACCUUGUCCUCGUUUCUCAUUUUUCUUAUCUGUCCUUUAGUUUGUUAUUGGGUAACACAAAUUCAUAUUAAAGGUGAAGGCUUUAAUUCAAUUGGGGUUACCAUCUCCGAUAUGAUUGAAUUCAGUCUUUCUUUUUUCUUUUAAUUGGGAUCAUCUUGGCUAAAUUAACGACCUUUUUUUGGUUGCUGACAAAUUUCAGGAUUACAGAGUUGUUCAAUUUUACUUUUUAUUUCUUGUCGCUGAGUAGAACAACUGCAAUUUUCAAGGAAUUAAAAAAUGUAAUUGGGUAGUUACCCUACUGGGUCACGUGGCUUUCAUGGCCUUCUUCCUUAGCUGCCAACAAGUUAACAUCAUGAUGAUUACUUUCUCUGUAAUCUUAUUAUGUUCCUUGUUAUGCCAGAUUAGUCUCUCCCGCAAUUGGAUAGAAAAUUAAGAGAAGACCGAGGCUUCUACAGUUUCAUGUUUUUGAAGAAAUGAAUGGAUGAGUUAUUGAUAUUUUCUCAUUUAUAAUAAAAUAAAAAACUUUGUUUUGGUUUUUAUAAUAUAACACUUUGUUGUUUUCCUUGCUACUACUGUGUUUGCUAGCAUCAAAUUUGUUUUAAUCUUGUUUCAGAGUAAUUGGUGCUGAGGGCAUAACAUCUUGCUGAAGCUCUAAGCGAUUGUGAAAUCUUAAGUCACACAGGAAGAAAUCAGCAUGCGGUGGUUGGGUCUUAUGUUUUAUGUAUAUCGUCAAGUUGUACGCUUGAACUUAUAUUGUAAAGUUAUUCUAUAGCUUCCCAGUCCCGUCAAUCCUUUUACUUUGUUACUUUUGGAGUUUGGUUCUUUAUUCUUAACUACUGCCAUGGAAGACAAGCACUGUUUGAUAACUUCUUCAGAUAAGUAUAGAAUUGGGUGAAAGAUUGGGAAGGAAGAUAGAGCCUGGUAUUUGUUCCUACGGUAUUGUUGUGUUUCUGUAGUUCUAGCUGAUUUUGAUCUUUAAUUAGCUUGAUUCCUUCAUUAUCACAUUCCAUUGGGACCUUUUCUUGGGUGUGCAUUACAUUCUAGUGUGGUAGGAUCCAAAAGAAGUUAUGGUGUGCCAAGCAGCGAGCCAAACAAGAUUUCGGGCUUUGAAACAUGAGAAUGGCAUUGAAGGUGAACCGACAAUUAUUGUUAGAGUGAUAGCAUGCUUUCAACCUUUGCACGAUUGUCAGGUUAGUAACCUAUUGCUAAUUCUUAGUGUUUUGCAAUUGCAUUUCUUUCCUAAUACUGUAGACAUGAUUUUGAAACCAGCUGUUUGAAGAAAAUUUUCAUUAUGCCCCUUUUCUUCGUGUAGAACAUUUACUAUUAAUGAUCACUAGAUCUAUGGUAUCAGCUAUUGGACAAUUUUAUGAGUGAUAUCUUCUAACUCUUUGCAGGCUGAAUACUUCCGUCAUCUUCUUAAACCUGUCACGUAGAUUACUUUGCAUUUAUUUCUCUUUAAGCUGGAAUUUUCUGUUUCUGUCAUUUGUUCUAAAGAGAGGCAGCAAGUCAUUGAAAAACCCAUAUCAAGACGCCAUAACAUCUACUGGUAUGUAUUUUCAAAUGCUCUUUUCAUCUUCACGUCUGAGAGGUUCAAGUUUUUCAUCAUCAGCAUUGAUCGGUCUGUUCUAUUGUUCUUUAGGUCAUAUUUUUCGUUGGAUGGUUAAGGCUCAUAGGUCUUGGCCUUACCCACAGCACGUGGCUUGGCCAUCACCUUACUUUAAUAGCCCUUGCACCUCAGCAGAGCCCAGUUCGCUGGUUCGCUCAACAUACAUGAACUCUAGCCCUUGCAUCUUUCCUGCUGUCAGCUUAUUUCCCGGGUUCACAGCUCCUGCUAUCCCAGAUUUGAAGAGUGAGAAGACCAAGGAAGUGCAAGGAUUCCUUCAGCAUCCCAGUUUGGAACCAUGUCUGAAUGGAACACAUACUGGAGAGGCUAUGCAAAAUGCAUCUUUGCAGAAGAAGUUGCUUGUGUUUGACCACUCUGGUAGUAAGACAAGGUUGCUUUAUAGUCCUGUCUUCCCUUUUGUCCAGAGUCCAAUUGUUACCGCUACCCAAUUUACUCAAGUUUAUGAUGUAAACGAAGAAACACGAACAACUAAUAUAGGUCUAAAGCAUUGGCCAGUGUACACUUCACCAGAAGAGACUGGUAAGGAUCGUGUAGAUAAUGAAGAAAGUGAAAUGCAUGAAGACACAGAAGAAAUCAAUGCAUUGCUUUAUUCUGAUGAUUCUUAUGAUGAUGAUGAUGGUGAUGAUGAUGAGGUAACUAGUACAGGUCAUUCUCCGUUGGUUACUGAAAAAACUUGUGUGACUCAAGAACAGUUUGUGGAUAUGAAGGAGGAAGUUGUUAGCACUGAUUGGCCAAACAAAAGGCAGAAGUUAAUUGAUGGUGGAUUCAAUAGAUUACCACCACUUGUGGAGAGUGCUAGUUCCGAAAGGCUAGAUAAAACGUGUGAGUAUGCCAGUGAUGUUGAAUCAAACUAUUCUAGUAGUGGUGGGGUGUAUGCUACAAGGCAAACUAAAGAGAAAUCAACAGCUGCUGAUAUUCAAUUGAAAAAGGAUAAAAUCCGUAGACUGGUGAGAGUUCUUGAGAACUUUAUUCCAGGAGCAAAAGGAAAGCACCCCCUAUUAGUCAUCGAUGGUACAAUUGAGUACUUGGAAUCUCUGAUGUCCCAAACUGGUACACUGAAAUAUAACUAAGUGCUCAUUGUGGUGGUUACAAAAUGGUUGAAGGGCACAUUGAUGGUGAAAAAAGUUGUAUGUUGAAUCAUUAGAUUUAUUGCAUUAUAAGUUUGAACUUAUCAUCCUUGCUUCUUUGAUCUUGUUCCUCGAGGUGUAUUCAUGUUUUACCAAUAAAAGGGAUGAAAGCGGCAAUAGAGGGUACUGCACUUUGCCACUGCAAUAUGGGAUUUAGGAGAUUUAAAUUUGAUUUGGAUUAAAGAUAUUUUAUCUUUUAGCUUUUGGAGGAUUAAAGGUCAGAGAGAUUGAAGGGAUGGGUGAUGGUAGUGGAUGGCUGUGCUGUAAAUGAGGACACUUUUUUCUCCCGGAGUGUUGAAUUCUCUUGUUGAUUGAAUGCAUGCGCGUUAGGUAACUGGGGUCCCACUUUCCACCCUCCCUUUAAUUCCUGAUUUUAUGCUCUGUCCUCUCUUCCAAGCUUGGCUUGUACACAUAUAAUGCUAGCGUAGACUAUAAAGUACCAAGAAAGUUCCAUGUUGGGGCGUGCUUGAAUGAGGAGCGUGGUGUUUCAUCAUGACUUGUUGGGGCCCUUUGUUGCAUACACACAACACGUUGUGGUAAAGGUUUCUUUGUUUUACGUGUUGAGGGUUGAAUCAUAGGUGAUUCUAUUUUCUACGUUGUAAUUGAGAGGUGGCUUGAGUAUUCUAUAUUUCUUUUUCAUGAUGUUACUAUGUAUGUAUCUGUCGGUUGUGUGAUUGUAUGAAUAAUUGGAGUGUCAAUGUUUGUAUUCCGGUUUCAUGUUUCUAUCUUCAUUGUCAUUGUCUUAUCUGCUCAAUACUUAAAUACUACCAAUCCAUCUUUCAUAACUUGUUCUGUUUCAGUUGAUUUUGCAUUAAAGUAAGCCAGAAAACGUGCAAUAAGAAAUACUAAAAAAGUGAUAACCCUAUCUUUUCACCUGUGAGACGGAAAGACUGGAAAUUUCUCAAACCUGAUGAGAUGGGUCCCCACCAGUUUGGUAAAAUCUUUAUGCAAACAAAAGUUCAAAUUAACUUUAGAAUAUUGUCUGUCUGCGUUGUGCGAGUGCGACACUUGUAGCUUACAUGAUAAUAAUUUCUUCAAUAUUUAAUAUUUGUAUUAGUUAAUCUAAGGAUCUGUGUGGAAAUUAAAGUUUAUUAAUUAUUUUGUUCAGUCCCGUCACACUUGUAGUCUAGGCAGUUUUGGCUUUGUAGGUCUAUCUUUUGUGUCAUACUUUGUUGACAUAAAGCAAUGGUGUUAAAUGAACACUAAUCUCUCAAUCAUGCCGUCACUUAUCUACAAAACAUGAACACCUUAAGAAAAUUUCUGCUUUUAUUAGUUAUUAUAAAAUUUUCAUAUGGGUUUUACUUUACCAUUUAUUUCUCAAGUUUUUGCAUGAGAUAGCGAAUUCAGAUAAAUCGGAAACAGAAGGUGGUUCCUCGUUGACUAAUCGGUCAACCAUGAAUCAGAAGAGGCUACUUAUGCAACUGAAGCAAACGCUAUUUUUCUUCAGAACUUUUUCAAGUUUGGAAAGUUUAGUUUGAUAUAAAACUAAAUUUAGCACAAAAGCGAUAUUAAUUAAGGUUUCUGAAUGAAAUUUCGGAAGCAGAACUUAUUGAAUUUUACUUUCUAGCUUUCCUUCUGAAAGAUUUCUAUUUGUACGUUUUAAGAAUAUAAAUAUUAAAAUCAUUUUUUAGUUUUAAAAAUUAAUUUUACUUCCAUUUUUCAUUUUAAAAUAAAUUAAUUUAAGUUUUUUAUAUUUUAAAGUUAGUUUAAUUAAAUGUUUGUUGAUGGUUAUAAUAAUAAUAAUAAUGCAUAUGAUUAAUAGUGAUAAUCUUUUUGUCAUAAAGAUAGUGAUGUUAUUAAUAAUGAUGAUAGUAUUGAUGUAGUAAUAACAACAAAAAUCAUUACUAAAUAUAAUACUAAUAUAUUAAAAUAAAAAUCAAAUCUGUAAUUUUUUUAAAUAAAUGUAAAAAGAAAAUGUUUUAAAACAGGUAAAAACGUUUCGAUUACAUUUUUAUCCAAGAAAAUUAUUUUAAAAAUUAAAUUUUAAAACUUAAAACAAAAAAAAAA
This 23947-nucleotide long non-coding RNA is filed under the name Vigna radiata. RNAcentral describes it as "long non-coding RNA (VRAD_LNC010754)". Lineage: Eukaryota; Viridiplantae; Streptophyta; Magnoliopsida; Fabales; Fabaceae. The record is from RNAcentral.